This 468-nucleotide ribosomal RNA is filed under the name uncultured bacterium. Its description in RNAcentral is "partial 16S ribosomal RNA". It matches the Rfam family "Bacterial small subunit ribosomal RNA", at positions 28 to 507 of the family's 1533-position model. The record is from RNAcentral.
GACGAACGCUGGCGGCGUGCUUAACACAUGCAAGUCGAACGGAAAGGCCCUGCUUUUGUGGGGUGCUCGAGUGGCGAACGGGUGAGUAACACGGGAGUAACCUGCCCUUGACUUUGGGAUAACUUCAGGAAACUGGGGCUAAUACCGGAUAGGAGCUCCUGCUGCAUGGUGGGGGUUGGAAAGUUUCGGCGGUUGGGGAUGGACUCGCGGCUUAUCAGCUUGUUGGUGGGGUAGUGGCUUACCAAGGCUUUGACGGGUAGCCGGCCUGAGAGGGUGACCGGCCACAUUGGGACGGAGAUACGGCCCAGACGCCUACGGGAGGCAGCAGUGGGGAAUAUUGCACAAUGGGCGGAAGCCUGAUGCAGAAACGCCGCGUGCGGGAUGACGGCCUUCGGGUUGUAAACCGCUUUCGCCUGUGACGAAGCGUGAGUGACGGUAAUGGGUAAAGAAGCACCGGCUAACUACGUG